CUUUACUGUAGCCUGGUAUUGGGUUCGGGCUUUGACUGCGCAGGAUAGGGGGGAGACUGAGAAGUGUGCCUUGUGGGGCACAUAGAGUCAACGGUGAGAUACCACUAUGUCAGAGCUAGAAUUCUAACCUUCACACGUGAUCCGGGGAAGGAACCGUAUCAGGUGGGCAGUUUGACUGGGGCGGUCGCCUCCUAAAAGGUAACGGAGGCGCGCAAAGGUGUUCUCAGGCUGGUUGGAAAUCAGCCGUAGAGUGUAAAGGCAGAAGAACGCUUGACUGUGAGAGUGACAACUCAAGCAGGGUGGAAACACGGCCUUAGUGAUCCGACGGUAUGCGCGUGGAAGUGCCGUCGCUCAACGGAUAAAAGUUA
Molecule: ribosomal RNA, 368 nt
Filed under: uncultured organism
Description: bacterial LSU rRNA
Rfam family: Bacterial large subunit ribosomal RNA
Source: RNAcentral